AGUGAACGCUGGCGGUAGGCCUAACACAUGCAAGUCGAACGGCAGCACAGGAGAGCUUGCUCUCUGGGUGGCGAGUGGCGGACGGGUGAGGAAUACAUCGGAAUCUACUCUGUCGUGGGGGAUAACGGAGGGAAACUUACGCUAAUACCGCAUACGACCUACGGGUGAAAGCAGGGGACCUUCGGGCCUUGCGCGAUUGAAUGAGCCGGUUGCGGAUUGGCUAAUUGGCGGGGUAAAGGCCCACCAAGGCGACGUUCCGGAGCUGGUCUGAGAGGAUGAUCAGCCACACUGGAACUGAGACACGGUCCAGACUCCUACGGGAGGCAGCAGUGGGGAAUAUUGGACAAUGGGCGCAAGCCUGAUCCAGCCAUACCGCGUGGGUGAAGAAGGCCUUCGGGUUGUAAAGCCCUUUUGUUGGGAAAGAAAUCCAGCUGGCUAAUACCCGGUUGGGAUGACGGUACCCAAAGAAUAAGCACCGGCUAACUUCGUGCCAGCAGCCGCGGUAA
This 506-nucleotide ribosomal RNA is filed under the name uncultured bacterium. RNAcentral describes it as "partial 16S ribosomal RNA". It matches the Rfam family "Bacterial small subunit ribosomal RNA", at positions 29 to 523 of the family's 1533-position model. The record is from RNAcentral.